GCCGGUAAUGCCCGAUGGACGGGCGGCAGACUGUAAAUCUGUUGCUUUGGCGAGUAGGUUCGAUUCCUGCUACCGGCA
Molecule: transfer RNA, 78 nt
Filed under: Acidobacteriota bacterium
Lineage: Bacteria; Pseudomonadati; Acidobacteriota
Description: Acidobacteria bacterium (bioreactor metagenome) tRNA-Tyr
Rfam family: tRNA
About the family: Transfer RNA (tRNA) molecules are approximately 80 nucleotides in length. Their secondary structure includes four short double-helical elements and three loops (D, anti-codon, and T loops). Further hydrogen bonds mediate the characteristic L-shaped molecular structure. tRNAs have two regions of fundamental functional importance: the anti-codon, which is responsible for specific mRNA codon recognition, and the 3' end, to which the tRNAs corresponding amino acid is attached (by aminoacyl-tRNA synthetases). tRNAs cope with the degeneracy of the genetic code in two manners: having more than one tRNA (with a specific anti-codon) for a particular amino acid; and 'wobble' base-pairing, i.e. permitting non-standard base-pairing at the 3rd anti-codon position.
Source: RNAcentral